UGACUCCGCUCGGCGUUGGGAACUUGAGACCCAGGUGGUAGGUUGACGGAACUGCCUGCAUGGCGUUGAGCCAUGGGGUUCCCAUGAUCACGUUGUAGAUAGCGGGAUGAUCGACUACCGCGAAUUUGAUGAUUUUCAUGAUCUCCUUGGCCAUGACUGGCAAUUGGAUUGAUCCGAGAGUCAUCGACAAUUCGCCUGAAAAACCCGUGAGCGGUUUUGGCGUCGAAAUUACUUCUCCGAGUUCGAUACUCUGCGACGAUUGUUAUCGUU
RNAcentral lists this long non-coding RNA (270 nucleotides) under Brassica rapa (field mustard). Its description in RNAcentral is "long non-coding RNA (BRAP_LNC008774)". The record is from RNAcentral. Lineage: Eukaryota; Viridiplantae; Streptophyta; Magnoliopsida; Brassicales; Brassicaceae.